This 253-nucleotide ribosomal RNA is filed under the name uncultured bacterium. Its description in RNAcentral is "partial 16S ribosomal RNA". It matches the Rfam family "Bacterial small subunit ribosomal RNA", at positions 524 to 776 of the family's 1533-position model. The record is from RNAcentral.
UACGUAGGGGGCUAGCGUUGUCCGGAAUCAUUGGGCGUAAAGGGCGCGUAGGCGGCCUGGUAAGUCCGCUGUGAAAGUCGGGGGCUCAACCCUCGAAUGCCGGUGGAUACUGUUGGGCUAGAGUGCGGAAGAGGCGAGUGGAAUUCCUGGUGUAGCGGUGAAAUUCGCAGAUAUCAGGAGGAACACCUAAGGCGAAGGCAGCUCGCUGGGACGUAACUGACGCUGAGACGCGAAAGCGUGGGGAGCAAACAGG